CGGCGGAAUCAAUCGUCUAGGGUGAGGAGCACUCGCCAGUAACAGGAACCCGGUGUGAUUCCGGGACGGUCCCGCCACUGUGAUCACGCCCACCGGUGUGAGAGUCAGGAACUGCCUGGUGAGUUCUGUCCCAU
Molecule: non-coding RNA, 134 nt
Organism: Microlunatus soli
Lineage: Bacteria; Bacillati; Actinomycetota; Actinomycetes; Propionibacteriales; Propionibacteriaceae
Source: Rfam